RNAcentral lists this ribosomal RNA (474 nucleotides) under uncultured bacterium. RNAcentral describes it as "SSU rRNA". It matches the Rfam family "Bacterial small subunit ribosomal RNA", at positions 26 to 518 of the family's 1533-position model. The record is from RNAcentral.
AGGACGAACGCUGGCGGCGUGCUUAACACAUGCAAGUCGAGCGGAAAGGCCCUUCGGGGUACUCGAGCGGCGAACGGGUGAGUAACACGUGAGUAAUCUGCCCCUAGCUCUGGGAUAGCUCCGGGAAACCGGGAUUAAUACCGGAUACGACCACUUUAGACAUCUGUUGUGGUGGAAAGAAUUUUGGCUAGGGAUGAGCUCGCGGCCUAUCAGCUUGUUGGUGGGGUAACGGCCUACCAAGGCGACGACGGGUAGCCGGCCUGAGAGGGCGACCGGCCACACUGGGACUGAGACACGGCCCAGGCUCCUACGGGAGGCAGCAGUGGGGAAUAUUGCGCAAUGGGCGAAAGCCUGACGCAGCGACGCCGCGUGGGGGAUGAAGGCCUUCGGGUUGUAAACCCCUUUCAGCAGGGACGAAGCGAAAGUGACGGUACCUGCAGAAGAAGCGCCGGCUAACUACGUGCCAGCAGCCGC